CAGAGCCUACAGAGGAAAAAUGACUCACUUGCAUUUGAAACUAUUCUUUCAUAUUCCAGUUGAUGGCUUUAUUAUUCAAAUCUGAGACGUAUGGGUUAGAGAGUUGUGUCAGUCUUGUCUAGAACAGAUUACACGAUGCGCUAAGUUAGUUUAAAGGUAAAGGUAAGGUAAAUGAAGUUUAAAUAAACUUUAUUUUGUUCAAAUUGUCCAUGUUUACACAUCAAAAUGGUGCAAAAGAGAUGCACAAGUUGUCAGCUUUCCUGAGUGCAGGGGUGCCGAAUUCAUUUUCCAAAGGGUCACACUGAGAAAUAAGAAUCAUAUCAAAUGGUUUACUGACAUGUUUUCAUUUAGUCAAAAUUGGAUGUUUCAUAUAGUUUGAUCCACAUGACGCCUUCUACCAGUCAUUUAGCUUUUAUAGUAUUCAGUAAAAUCACAUAUUUUUAUUAUAGUUCUAUGAGUAGACUUACCUGCAGCUACAGGGAGGGUGUGAUACACAGUGAUGUCUAAGCAAAGUCGCAAUUUUGUUCUUGCUCAUAUUUCUACAAGUCUUACAGAUCCAGAAAUGUAAUGAUAGGUUUACUCCGAUAUUUGGAAAUAACAACUUUCUUCCUGGUAGGGCCGAUGCAGGUUUUAAAUUUUGGUUCGAUCAAGGUAUAAGAAAAGUGUCUGAUAUAUUUAGGAAUAAUACUCUUAUGUCUUUCGAACAACUUAGAAGUACUUUUUCUAUUCCUGUCAAACAUUUUUUUUAAUUUCUUCAAUUAAGAAAUUUUAUCUUAACCACACAAGGUAACAGCUUAGAAAUCCCCACCUACUCCUCUCUAGAGAACACAGUUAUAAAGCAUCUAAAUGGGAGAGGCCAAGCUUCUGCAUUGUACAAAUUAUUUAUGGAAAAUUCCAAAGAAUCAACACAGUCUAUUUUAGAGGAAUGGAGGAAUGAUUUGCAAAUGAACAUAUCUGAUGAUGAGUGGUAUAAAUCAUGCUCCUUGGCCCAGAGUCAAACAAUUAAUGUGCUACUUCAAUAUAAAUGGUUAACAAGACAACAUAUUACUCCGUCAAAAAUGCAUCAUUUUAACUCAAACAUCCCAGACACCUGUAUUAAGUGUGGAGUGGACAGGGGCACUUUAUUUCACUGUAUAUGGGAGUGUCCACAUGUGAAAAUCUUUUGGGAAAAGGUAAUAAAUCUGUUGAGUCAAAUCAUUGGUGAUGUGAUUCCACUUCAUCCUAAAAUAUGUAUUUUAAAUAUAUACCCGAAUAAUUUUGUACCUGCUGCAAACAAUAGAGCUCUGUUAACGAUUGGACUUUUGGAAGCCAAGCGCUGUAUUGCUAUGUGUUGGAAAAAUCAAAAAAUAUGUGGAUUAUCUCAAUGGCUUAAUGGACUGACAUCUAUACUAUCUAUGGAGAAAAUAACUUAUACAUUAAGGAAUAAACUGGACAAGUUUUGGGCGCUAUGGUCUAAAUACUACAACUUUCUGGAGAGCUGCAACGUAUACACUGUGGACUUAACAGCCUGAAACUCUAAGUUGAUUUGUAUAUCUGUCCUUCCCUUUUGUUAUGGUUUGCUUUAUUUUUGUUUCUAUUAUUAUGUUGUUUCUGUUGUUGUUGUGGUUUUGUUUUUAUUUAUUUAUUUUAUUUUACUUUUACUUUAUUAUUUUUUAUUUAUUAUUUUAUUUAUUUAAUUUAUA
Long non-coding RNA from Astatotilapia calliptera (eastern happy), 1682 nucleotides. NCBI's taxonomy places the organism in Eukaryota, Metazoa, Chordata, Actinopteri, Cichliformes, Cichlidae. The record is from Ensembl.